GCUUAGUGGAUGCCGAAACCCGGUAUCCCCACCUUGAGAGGCCAGCGUUAGCACUCGUAGUAGCUUCACGAAAGCUACGACCAUUUUUCAAUGCCACCUAAGGGUAGUAACGACCUUCCCCCUAAGAAGCGUCCAACACGAACUCGAACUCUCAUGGCGACUCGCCGGAUGAGCCGUUGAGCUCAGCGAGCUUGACAUUACAUACCUCCCUAGACCGCCAUCAAGUCGCAAGUCCUAGCUGACUUUAUCGCCGACUUCAGCGCGGAAGUCCUAGCCAAAGGCAGAACUCGAAGCACAACGCGCAUCCUCCGAAAACUACCUGUGGGCCCUUUACACGGACGGCACCGCCAAUGCAUCGGGAUCGGGACUGGGACUCGUACUCGAAGUCCCCACGGGUGAAACAAUUUGUCGGUCCAUACGAUGCCCGGAAAUAACUAACAACGAGGCCGAGUAUGAGGCCGUUAUUGCAGGAAUGAAACUGGCCAUCAAGUACGGAGCUCGCCGAAUUCUCCUCCACUGCGACUCCCAGCUUGUAGUGAACAAGUCAUUGGGACUUAUCAAAUCAAAGAACAGAGAUUACAAAAGUAGCAGUCAGAAAUCCACAGACGGAUGGCCACAUUCAACGAAUGCCGCUUCAAAAAAAUUCACAGAGCACGGAAUAUCGAAGCGGACGGUCUGGCAAAGCUGGCUACCGCCACCAAAAAUAUCAACAAAGAAAGUGUGGUCACACUCCUCCGCUCGGCUAUCGACCACACCGAGGUACUUUCCCUAAAACUAACUUGGGACUGGCGCAACCAGUUCAUAUCUUAUUUGCAGGAUGGGGUAUUACCCCCCGAUAAAAAAGAAGCGAAGAAGCUUCGCAUACAGGCCAUCCAGUACUGCAUGGUCAGUGGAAACCUUUAUAAAAAGACUUUCGACGGCGCCUGACUUGGGACUGGCGCAACCAGUUCAUAUCUUAUUUGCAGGACGAGGUAUUACCCCCCGAUAAAAAAGAAGCGAAGAAGCUUCUCAUACAGGCCGCCCGGUACUGCAUGGUCAAUGGCGAUCUUUAUAAAAGGACGUUCGGUGGCCCAUUAGCCAAGUGCUUAGGGCCGCAGCAAACAAGAUCGGUGCUCGAAGAAGUACACGAAGGCCAUUGCGUCGCCCACACUGGC
This 1154-nucleotide long non-coding RNA is filed under the name Nicotiana benthamiana. RNAcentral describes it as "long non-coding RNA (NBEN_LNC012473)". The record is from RNAcentral. Lineage: Eukaryota; Viridiplantae; Streptophyta; Magnoliopsida; Solanales; Solanaceae.